This 2439-nucleotide long non-coding RNA is filed under the name Brassica rapa (field mustard). Its description in RNAcentral is "long non-coding RNA (BRAP_LNC003770)". The record is from RNAcentral. Lineage: Eukaryota; Viridiplantae; Streptophyta; Magnoliopsida; Brassicales; Brassicaceae.
GAGAAUUUAUGAAGGACGGUCGGGUGCUGCUCAUCAUAGGCUCAUAAUUCAAUCAUGUCCCAUAUGUACGAAACCAGAGACUCACUUCAACUAAAGGGAAUACCAAUCAGUAAUUCAGUUUUAAAUAAGCUUUUCCCACAGCAUAAAAUGCCACUAAGCAAGUUGUUCCAACAUCAUCAAAAAAGCCAAACAAGAACAUGAAAGUGUCAUUUUUGAAAUUAAUACAAAAAUCUAUUUACUAAAGUACAUUGGUAGCAAAAUAUUGUCAGACUACUUUUUUUUUUUUUUUUUGGCAUCACAGGAUACGAUCAGACUACAUUUAACUUUCAAUAUCACUCACUAUAUUUUUCAAGCCAAACUUGAUCCAUGAUGCAGGAGGCCCCUCAAAAUACAAAUGAUAGUGAACAUGAUGCAUAAUAAGCAGUACGUUCAUAUAUCAAUGAUACGUAAAAAAAAAACAAGUUCGAAUUUGUUAUUCCUUGCAUAUUUAUAUUCUUUUUUUUUUUACUAAAACCUUUAUUCAUCUUUCCUACUUCCCGGAAGGAUAUUGUUUUGCAUAUUUAUAUUCUCUAUGGUAAUAUUGGCAAUCCAUCAACUAAAUAAAUAUGUUGUCCACGCAAUAUUGUCAAGCUAUAAACUAAACAAAAAAUGAUUUAUAAACUAAACAAAAAUGACCCUAAAACUCUCAAAACAAGAGGAGUUCUGCUAAGCCGUGACAGUGAAGAAGACGAGAAAUAGAGAGACAAUGGACAAACAAAACCCUAGAUCCAAAGAUCAGAGAAAAUGAGAAAUAAAAAAAAAACAUUAUUCCUCUGUGCGUACGGUUUAUCAGAUAAGUGGCAGUUUUAAUUAAUUAAUUUUUUUUUUGUCGAUGGUUAAUUAUGCUAUUACAAACUAUGAGAAAUGUUACAAGACGAUUUUACAGCCGACAAAUCUACCUGCCUUAUGAGGAUUCACGUCUGACUGUAUCAUUCUGAGCCGUCUUAUGAGAUUCAUGCCUGGCAGUACUCCUUGCGCCAUGCCGAAGAUCUCCUGUAGCUUUUCUCCAUAAAUUUGCAUAAUUCGCUUUUGCUGGGAUUCGAAACCCAGACCUCCUGGUGUAGAAACAUUAAUGAACCUUUAGUAGAUAAAUUAAUUAAUUAAUUUAUUUACUAAGUUUUCUUAUGAUAAUAAUACAAUUAUUUUAUUUUGAAUUUUGGUUGAAUAUAAAACAAUUAAUUCCUCCAUCUUUUUUAGGAAACAACUAUCCAUUUGACUUAUUAUAUGUAUACACAACUAUUAAUUUUAAGACAUUCGUUUUAGAUUUGGAGUUAGUUAAUAACCAUUUUAAGAGAUAGCAAUACAUAAUAGAUUAAAAAAGUUUCUACUAAAAUAAGACCAUGAUAAAAAAAAUAAUAGAUAAUAAAAAAUCAAAAAUAAUUGUCAGAAAAAAUAAUAAAAUACAGAAAUAAAAAAUAAAUAUAAAAACAAAAAUGAAUAAUUUUUCUAUGUAAAAGAGAUAUGUUAAGUUAUUCCAAUUAAACAAACGUAGAAUGUAUUUUAAAUGUUUAUGUCAAAGAUUCUACAAACAAAAACAGAAUAAAACUUCAAAUUAAAAAAAAUAAAUCAACAAUUCUACCCCAUCAAAAUAAAAACAGAAUAAAACUUGAAAUAAACAAUUUUAUUAAUCGUAAAAUUUUUUAGCUAAUUGUGAUGAGAAUAAAACUGAAUAAAGAAUAAUAAUCAAUAAAAAUAUAAAUAAAAAUAUUUAUUCUAACUAUUUAAAUUAUUUUUAAAUUAUCAUCCUGCCCGUAGGGCGGGCCCGCCCUAGUUACCAAUAAACCAUCACACACGAUAACAACAUUGAACUUAAUCACUAAACUAGAUUCUGACCCGCCCUUAAAAGGGCGGGUAUAUUUUUUGUUUUACAUUUUUUUAGAAAUUUAAUUUUUAUAUUUUGUGUUUUAAAUUUUAAUUUUAGAAAUUUGAUUUUCAUAUUUUUCAUUUCUUUGUAAUUAUAUUUGUAUUUUCUUUGUAAUUAUAUUUGUGUGUAAAUCUUAAUCAAAAUCUAUUUUAUGAAAUAAUAUCAAUUCAAAAGUUGAUCCGGCAUACGCUUGGUUCUUUGUAAUCAUAUGCCGAUAUAGCCGUUUUUUUGUAAUCAUAUUUUUUUUGUUCUAGGUCUUGACCCGUGAAUAUAUUGUUGGUUUGUAAUUUUUGGUUUUUUAUGUUUCUGUAAAUAUGCAACAUUUUUCUGUAAUUUUUUUAAUAUGUUAAAGAAAUUUAAUUUAUAUACACUUAUGGUAAGUAAGAAUAAGAAUGAACGAAAGGUGUUCCUCGGAAUUCUAGUAGGAUUAUCCUAACGUAGUGGUAAGUAUAUAUUAACUGAAAAAGGUAGAGUUAUAUAACAUAGGGUUAAUUUUUUUUUACUUGUUGAUAACCACCCUAAUGUAUUGGUUAUUG